This 34109-nucleotide long non-coding RNA is filed under the name Panicum hallii. Its description in RNAcentral is "long non-coding RNA (PHAL_LNC000954)". The stretch from base 18149 to 18287 matches the Rfam family "Small nucleolar RNA Z247". Lineage: Eukaryota; Viridiplantae; Streptophyta; Magnoliopsida; Poales; Poaceae. The record is from RNAcentral.
UUUUUUUUUUGGGUCCAGAAUAAUGGUUCUCUUGAUUUGACCAUUUCACCUGACGGAUUAGUCGAUCAGAUUAGAUGUUGAGAGAAAAGCGAGAAACUUAUUUCAACACUCUCAUUCACGUUGAGGCCUUGAGACUCCUGUAGAGGCAUGGUGAUGUCAACUCGAAGUGCACUGCAAUUAGCUUUACCUGAAACUGUGUUAGCUAUUUAUCGGACUCUGAGUCGUACAGCAUUUGGACAGUUCAUCCAAAAGUUAAAAAUGCUUGAUCACGCUACCUACCACAGAUUAUGAGCUGGAUAAGUUCUUCAUGCUAAUAUAUGCAUAGUCCAUGGCCUAAAAAUUUUAUACGGAAAUGAAAGUUCGCAAGAGGUCUACUCAUGUCUAGUUAUCUCAUGGUUGAAUGACUCUACUGUAAUUACAUCCAAACUAUACUUUAUUUUAGCAUGCAUUCAUUUGAGUUUAUAGGUCAGUGGUAGAUAGUGUACGCUGUCAUUGCUGUGUGAGAAUGGGGAGCACACAUGAUUGGUUCAGGUAGAGGGAAUUGUGAUUGUCAGGGCGGUUUCCCUGAGCUGAGGACACUUGUCUAGCAUUCUACCAUUUUCAGAGGCUCAGAGCACAGCAUGUGAAGAAAUUGAGGGCUCCUACAACCGAGAAACAUGCAUGUUUCCCGGUCCAAUUUACAGUUAAGCUUUAUCUUUCCUUUCCAAUUGCUGAUUUUUCAAAAAGAAAUUGUUUCUUUUUUGUUUCAGCUGAAGGAGUUUAUCUUGAGCCAGGCCGAGGCGUACGAGUUUAAGAUUGGUGAUAAAGUUUUCCGCAGACCUGGAGACCCGCCCCUGGACCAAGUUCUUGAAAAGCUUCAGAAAGAGAAGAAUCAUAAAUCACAAGAGGAACUUUAGAUCCAUUCACCAAUCUGUUCUGCAUGUGCUGUUCGUUCGUUCAUUGUCUAGUAUAGCAGUUUUACACUGUUACCUUUUUAUUACAAUUUGACAAGAUUACAAGUAUCCCUCUUUGCAAAUGCCAUGUGUACCUUUUGGAAUCUGGAGUACGGUAAGCACCGUGUGUCUUCCCCACGUUCUAAACGCAACUAUAAUGCACGUGUCGCCCGUUGUUCAUCACUGAUCAGAGUGUUUAGUGUCGCCAGCCGCUGCCCGAUGUUGGCCGUUGCAGCUUGUCGGUUCAUUUGCUGCUGCCUGGUGCAGGUGCAGCCUUGCCGUUUGAAGCCAGAACUCCUGUGUACUAGAAAGUUAAGAGCGUACUGGCGUGAUCAGCGACCAACAGCGACGUCGUCUUUGCCCGUCACCGAAGCCUACUGGUCGCGUAGAGACCGCUGGCCAACAGCGACGGCCGCCAUGGCACCAUCACCGAUUCACCUCUCUGUCUGUCCGACGCGGUGUCUCUACCCCGGCCGCCCUGGGCUGAGCCGGCCACGAGGUGGCUUCAGAUACCUGCAACCUGUUUGCCUGAACAACCGGCAUCAUCACAAGGGCUUUGGAUGGCAAGCUAGCUAGAUCCUCGGCAGAGUUAAUCCGGGGAUCAGAAAGAUACGGGCGCCCGAUUAGUGGCACGUAUCUAAUCGGCCUGCAUUGUGGGCCACACGCCCCUGCGCUGCGCCGGACGCAACGGGCAUGCCGCGGCGCCGGUGGCGUUCGCGGCUGGCGAAACGCUCAGGCAGGGCAGACGCAACGCAACCCGCGCCCGGAUUUCCCGGCCCAUCUAGCCAGCGCUCCCAGCACCACCCCCACGCACGUCGCGGUCGCGCCCAUGGCUCGCCACGCGCACGCACGCAGGCAAGCGAAACGGGCGCCCACCUGCCGCGGUGAUCCGUCGGCGGCCGAUCCAACGGCCCGCGCGUGGCGUUCUAGUACGUGCGCGUGUCGUCUGGUCUCGCGUAGACGGCCGGGGCGCGGCGUGGCGGCUGUUUUUCCCCCUCCCGUUGAGUGCUCGCCAACCUCUUGUGCUUCCUUCCAAGCUUCCGCCUAAUCAGAGGGAGAGGGAGGUCGGGCUAGCUCGCGGUGCCAAGCUGGAGGUAGAAAAUGAAGGAGACUUGUCUUCGCGCCCACGCACGACUUCCAAGAUAUCUUCGGUGGAGCCGGCCGGCCGGCCGGCCGGACCUUAUAUAAAAGUUCCGCCGCGCCCCCCUGGCUCAUCCCGUCACUUCGACCGGAAGAAACACGAUAGCAGCUGCUCCCUCCGCGGCUCCAGCAAAAGGUCGACCGAGCUAGAAGAAACUAGACGCCCGUCGCGCCUGCCCGCAACCUUUCAGAAGGCCGAGGUACUGACUGAUCGGAUCGAUCGGAUUCGUCUCGCCGGCCGCCGCGGCAGCUUGCGCCGAUCUACCAGAUGGGCGUCGCGUUCCGGUGCUUCGGUGGGGGCGUAGCAGCCCACGACCCCAAGCCGCCAUUGAUGACGCCGUCGUCGAGCUUCGACUUCCGGGAGGAGUACACCAGCGCGUUCCGGACCGAGUCCUACAACGACUUCUGGGCGCGCGUCCUGGACAUCACCCUCGCGCACGGCGCCGGGCUGGUGCCGCGCCCCGGCGGCGGCACCGGCGGCACGGCGUCCAAGCGCCUCCCCUCCUACCGCCUCUUCGCCGAGCACCUCCUCGAGCCGGACCAGCGCGCCGUCCGCACGGCCCUCGCCUCCGCCGGCAAGGGCCGCCUCCAACCCGGCGCGCACGACCUCCUCGCCACCUACUACAACGAGACGGCCAACGCCUCCUUCCUGUGCAGCCACCUGCUCAGGGACAUCGAGCAGGUCCGUCUCCGCUACCGCCCGCUCAAGAACACGCUCCGCAAGCUCGCCCGCGACGUCGGGGUGUCCAACCUCGCCGACGUCUCCGCCGCCCUCGGCCAGCCUUUCACCGCGCUCGCCGUGUCGCAGGGCAAGCUCCGCCAGGCGCAGCUCAGCUCCGCCGAACUCCUCAGGAGCCUCGACUCGAGCAGGAAGAAGACGCGCCUCCGGAUCAAGACCCUCGCCCGCCUCAGGCGAGUCCUCUCGGUCUCGUUCGUCUCAGCCGCGGUCGUCGUGGCCGUCGUCGGCGCGUGCAUCGGCGUGCACGUCCUGGCCGCGUUCGCGGCCUUCCCGAUGAUGCCGUCGGCGUGGCUGGGCCUCUUCUCCGGCCGGACGGAGCGGCGAGCUCUGGUGCAGCUGGAGGCCGCGGCCAAGGGCACGUACAUACUCAACAGGGACAUGGAUACCAUAAGCCGGCUCGUGGCGCGGGUGCGCGACGAGGGGGAGCACAUGCUCGCGCUGCUGCAGCUGUGCGUGGACAACCGCGCGGCGGCCGGCGAGAAGGGAAGGUUGGUGCAGGAGGUGUUGAAGCAGCUCUGCAAGAACGAGGAGAACUUUGCGCAGCAGCUGGACGAGCUGGAGGAGCACCUCUUCCUGUGCUUCAUGACCAUCAACAAGGCCAGGAGCAUGGUGAUGAAGUUCAUAGCUGCUGCGGAGCAAGGUUCCGGUUGCCACGAGAAAGAAUAAAAUUGUGCUUGUAGAACAUACUUUAGCCUGCACAUACUAGCUUCUAUUUUUCUGUACAGAAAAAAGAGGAAAAAAAGAUAGGCUAAAAGAUUUCUCAACACAGGCCUUUGUGCUUUUGUUUGAAUUUUCCUACCAAUAAACAUUAUAUUGAGCGUUUGAAAUAAUAGCCUGAUCGAGGGCUUAAAUACCCAGCAUAUACAACGAUUUCAGUAUAGUGAAGCUGAAACAAUAGCCACUCAAACAAUUUUUCUGUAGUUACGAAUACAUUAUUAAAGUGCAACCACUAGGGUCUUAUCCAUUCAGUACCCUGCAUAUGCUGAAUACAAAAGCCUGAUUUAGGGUUUUACUACCUGCAUAUGCUGAAUUCCAGUAUUGUGAAACUGAAACAAUAGCCACUCUAAGAAAUUUUCAAGAGCUCAGAAUACAAACUCCGCGGUGCAAUCACAGGAACUUUGUUCAUUCACUACUAUGUGUUUAUGCCUCUACAGAACAUAUGACACGACGCAAAUGCCCCAUAUUUCCACUUGAUCGACUAAAAAAACAAGCCGCUUACACAAGUACAUAACAACAGAAUGGUGAACAGAAGGAAAUGUAGACAAAACUUUUGCCAAAACUUGUAAGCUUUGCAUUUCAAUCUACACUUCUUAUAUCACAUAAUAAAUGGUAAUCAAGCAGGUUUAUGUUAUAAAUGAAUUUUCACCCAAUAUAGUAGAGAGUCAAAUCAAACAGGAAAAAUUCUCCCUUCAGGAAUCUUUCUCUCCACUUGGCUAAUCUUUGAGGGCGGCCAAAUGAUGUGGGUCACCCUCCCCUCAACUAGACCUAAGGGAAUCUGAAAAACAGCAGAAACAACAACAUAAGUACCGAUGCAGUAUAAUUUAUAAUAACAAAUUAUAUUGGUUUCUCAUAAUCAUUUUUAUAACUAGUCCUGAACUAUAGAUAGGUCAUUCACUUUUGUUGCUCAUCAAAAUAGCCAACAAACUGUGCCCAAUUUAAUCUUUCUUGCCAACCCUAUACCUAUUUGAUUAGUUCUUUUAUGCCAUUUCAGAUAGGUGGUCCAACUACAAAUGAAGCAAACCAUGUGUCUAUCUAAACAAGCACGCUGCAGAGCUCGUUAGUAGCAGCUUUAUGACACAAAAAUUCCAUACUUGGCAAUCAAUACAACAAUUCUUUCAGAUCGCAGAUUAAACCAAGUUGUUGCCCGUUUUAUGCUCAUGUAAGAUUGCAAUAGAGCUAUAUAAACAGAAAGACAGUUCUGAAAGUUGUUAAGCCUUUACUGUCCUCACCAAGUAUAAAGUGUGUGACUCUGACCUCAGGUGCAUUAAUGUGCUUGCCUUUUGUGAACUUCUGAUAUAGGUUGUCUUGACUGUCACCCUUUUCUUUUCUUUUUUGUUUUGUUUUCAUUUUUUCGGUUUCUGUUUUUUUUUUGUAUCUAGCUUUGUGCAGAUUGGUCCAUAGUCCUCAGUGUUUGUUCCAUAGGAGUUCGAUUUUCAGGGAAAAAAAAUACAACCAGGAAUAAGAGAUAAUUUACCAUUUUGCAAUAAUCUUAGUUUUAUAGUUUGCUAUUAACCAUGUAUAUUGAAUGUUGUAACAUAUAAUACCAUAUAGCAUUAUUCAAAGAGAUACCAGCAGGGACAAGCAUUAAUGUGAUUAUGGAUAUUCUAGUAAUGUUUGGUUAUCUGCUGCCCUCUAUCACCUAAUGGUUAAUCGCAUUUCCUGCCCAGACAAUUCAUACGCAUACUCUAGGCACCCAGUCUCCAUUUAAAAUGGUGGGGAAGUAUCUCAGAACUUGAUCACUGAAGAAGAACUCCUACAAGUUUCAAAUUCUAUAACAAGUUAAGCCCUGAUUCUUUGUACAAGUACCAGUGCUGGGCGACUUGCUACGACCUCCCUAGUUUUCAGAUCCACACGUAUCAACAAUACUGUCCCCAAGAUUGAAAUAUGGAAAAAAAUCCAACCAUGAAACAAAAAGUACCCUAACCCAUCAAUAUUUGAUACUAAACAAGAGCACUGGAUGUGUUAAUAAUUUUCAUUCAACCAACUUUUACAUUGUUAACACUGGCGGAACUACAUAUAGGCCCCACUAGCCAAUUGCAAAAUCCAUUAACUAGCUACUAAUUGAUUCUUAGAAAUUAAAAAAUGGGCACAUUAACCAACAUAUUCGUACUAAUGGCCCCCUCUUGAUUUGUGUUCUAGCUCCGCCACUGAUUAUUAACAUAGACAAGGGUACAGAUCAGUUGGAGAAGAAGCAACUUACUGGUCCGAAUGCUCUAGAAUCCCAACUACGAGCAGCGUUAUCACCUUCAACCCAGCAAUGCCCUUCUGGGAUCUUAGUAACCUUAGGGGACCCAGGGAGCUGUACCCACUCACCAGGAAGCGCGAUCAAUCUCUUCACAAACAACUCCUUAUGAUUGCUAGGGCACCUGCAGACCACACAAGGAACGGUCAGGCUUGACUAAGUUAGCAGCAUCAAUCUUUUUGCGGAAUUGCCCUCAUCCUUACUUGAACAAAAUGAUAUCACCGUGUGAGAACUUGUACUUCUCAAGGCAUCUUCUUUCUGCUAAAAUGAAAUCACCUGGUUCCAACACCCUGGUCAGCACAAACGGGAAGACGAACUACUUGAAUAGGGAAGAACGACCCAACUGUCCAUGCCAGCUUGAUAUGUACAAAUUGAAAUCACAAUACCCUGUAAGACACUGCUGGCCGCUGUGAACGUAGGGUGCAUCGAUUCACCGAUCACCGAGACGAAAGUCACAUAACGAUCAGAAAUGGUGAUGCCAAGUAAAACUGCCAUUACAUUCUUCUUGGCAAUUGACCAGAGAUGGCUGUAGGUUCCCAUAUCCAAGUGUCCAACUAUCCAGUCAUAAGGAUAGUAACAGUAAGUGAUAAUACAAUCAACUGGGCAGCAAAGACAACGAACGGUGCAUACAAGAACUACGUGGAAGCAGAAAUUCCUCCGACGGAUUCAACUUCGAGGGAUGUGGAGUCAAUCAAGACUUACCCAGAAAUGGUGGUACAGUCGUACGGAUGGGUUCCCACAGAUCAAGCGGGGUUACGAGCAGACUAAGCUCCGAAGAGGCGCCCAAGAAGAACGAUGAGAUGUUGUCGGCGGCGGCGGCGGCGGCGCGCGCGCAGGGGCCGGGUUUGGGUUGGGCGCGCCUGUUCGGUCGGAGGACGGUGCGCGCCCUAGUCGGUAAAAGAGAUAGAGGAUGCGUCCGAUCGCGCAUCAACGGUGUAAUUAAAAGCACGUUCAUCAACGGACGGAGCCGGGGCGAGCCGAGCAGGUAGGGUCUAGUUCAAGCAACCCAAGUGUUCACCAUUAGGUCGGCUCCGACCCGCAGCCCGCCCGGCCCAGAGACAGCGCCCCUGCCACCGUCGGUGGCGGCGACCAGUCCCCGGGAGCCAAAGCGCCACCGCCCCGCCCCGCCCCUGCCGUGCCGCGCCCCGGCCCUCCUCCGACCUCUCUCCGGUGAAGACCGCCCCCCCCCCCUCCUCCCGCGGCUGCCGUCGCUGCCGUCCCGGGUGCUUCCUCGGCGAGGAGCGCGCCGCGCCGUCCUGCCCCCCGGGGGACCUCUCCUCCGCCCCCGUGUCCUCUCCCGACAUCCUUCCGCGGAUCCCCUAUCCCACCCCAUCCCGUCCCGGUAAGCGCCUCUUCUAUAGACCGCACCCUGCGUCUGUGCUCUUAGUUUAAUCUGCUCGACGGAAUCUGGAUUCGCACGGGCAUCUGGAGUAGGGUUUUUGCGUUUCGGAUUACGUAGUUUUUGGUUCCUCACUGGUCCGUCACGCUUUUACUCACAGCUUAGGUUAUGGCCCUGGAUUUUUAUUAGGGUUUUGUGUUUUGGUAGAAUGUGUUGCUAGUGGGUUAAUGCGGAACAGAUGAUUGUUCUGUAGCGGUGGGUGGCAGGCUAGAGAAUGCUGUGAAAUGUCACAACGGAUUUGAGUGUGUGACCUCUGUCCUGUGCUUUAGUACGGGAUAUUUGAGGCUAUAGGUUUUUUGCUAUGGGUAUUGGAAGGAUUGUGGAAUUUAGUUCCAGGAUAUGUGAGGUUAUGGUGUCAAUUAUUACUCAUUGUUGUGUUUCUUCAUCUUCAUUGCCCCUCAAUUGUCUUCUAUUCUGGUGCACGAGUUUGUUGUUUUUACCCCCAACGCCACUUUUAGGUUGUUAUCUUAUGUUACACUUUAUUCAUACAUUACUUCUGACUCAUUAUAGUUAGGGUUCCCUUAUAGUUAUAGGAGUAUAGAAGGUGUUUAGAGUUUGUUUUUGCAGUUGAGGAGUUCCAUUGUACUAUUGGAAUUUAUAUGCUUAUGCUAAUUAUUAAUGCUAAAUGUUUAGCAAAUUUGGAUUUGAGACUUCCAUUCAAUUGAAGACCUUGUUCUGCAGUUCCAUCAUAACAAUUUCACCUGUCGAAUACUGAUUUCCUUAUGCUAUCGUAUACCUCGAUAUUGAUAUUGCUUAUGAUUUGUUUGUGUAUAGGAAUCUCAACAGUCUAGCCAAGUUUUCUCAUCUGAGUUUUAUUAUUGGGAAAAUUAACAGUUUCCUGACUGUAUGCGAUAGAAACUACCAUGGAUGGGUCUGAGUCUAGUAGAGGUCGCAGCAACCAGGAGGUUGAGGACAAUGUUAAUUCUAGGAGCAGCUGGAAGGAGGAACAUGAAAAUCAGGAUGAUGCAGAUGGCAGAAAGUAUUCUGACAGAUCCAGAAAACAUGGAUAUGAAUAUGAAGUUGGGCAUCAGGAUGAUGAUAGAAUGGCUACACCUUCAAAUGAUAGGAAUGAAUCAAGGAGGAACUCAGAUAGAAGCUCAGGCCUGGCCCGCAGUGCUGACGAAGAUGUCUAUAAUGUGAGAAAGGACUCACGAUCACCCAAAGUUCCAAGGAGAAGCCCUGAUGAUUCCAAGGAUAGGGACUAUGAUAGAAGGAGGGGAAGAGAGGAUAAUAAUGAUUGGGAACCUUCAAGAAGAUUUAGCCCUGAUGCUUCUGCUAGGAGUUCAGAGAGGAGAGAGGGCAGCAGGGAGAAGCAAGGGCAACGGGACCAAGAGGAAAAGGCUUCAGUCAGGAGGGCAGAUGAGGUUUAUGCGGAUGAAAGUGGUGGUUCUCUUAGGGUUGACACAAGAGAAGCCCAUAGAGAUGAUAAAUCAGACAGAGGGAGGGACAGAAAUUGGAAUGAGAAAGCCCGAGACCUUGAAGGGUCCAAGGAUUAUGGGAGGAACAGUCAGUUGCGAGAUCCUCAGGAGGCAAAUGAUGCUGAAUGGAGGAAUGCACAGGAAAGGCUAGAUGGUGGGAGUUUCCAUGGCCGAGGUGGGUACCGGAGAGAUUCUAGGGGUAGGUCUGAAAGUGUUAGAGGUCCCUCAACCUAUGGGAAUCGCUAUGACAAUUCUGAUUCCAUAGAGAUUCGGCCUAAUAGUAGUCUUAAUUUUGGAAGAGAGGGCUCUGUUUCUGGGAGAAGGUUUGAAGUGGGAGCAAAUCGGGAUUCAGUACCAGGAGGAACUGAUGAUAAAUCCACUGAUAAUCCUGAAUUAGAACCAAGUGGUAGCACCAACAUGGUUUCUUCAUUUCCUCAACAAGGUCCAAAAGGUGAUAGACCAUCCAGAGGAGGAAGGGGGAGACCAAAUGGAAGGGAUUCUCAAAGAAUUGGAGUUCCAAUGCCAAUGAUGCCUCCUCCAUUUGGUCCUCUCGGCCUGCCACCAGGACCAAUGCAGCAUAUGGGACCAAAUAUUCCCCAUUCCCCAGGUCCUCCUCUUCUACCUGGUGUCUUCAUGCCGCCAUUUCCAGGACCUCUUGUGUGGCCUGGAGCACGAGGUGUUGAUGUGAAUAUGCUUUCUGUUCCUCCCAACCUUCCCAUUCCUCCUCCAGUUGCUGCUGAACAUAGGUUUACACCAAAUGUGGGAGCUGGUUCUGGUCAUAAUAUUCACUUGAAUCAAAUGGACACUGGAUUAGGUGCUCCAACAGAUGUAUCAGGAUUGGGUUUCAAUCAUAUGGGCCCACAAAGCCGUGACAUGCUCCAUGAUAAACCAGGAUGGACACCACAUAGGAACGGUGGACCAAACAGAAAAGCUCCUUCAAGGGGCGAGCAAAAUGAUUACUCACAGAACUUUGUGGACACUGGCAUGCGGCCUCAGAAUUUUAUUAGAGAACUGGAUCUUACAAGCGUAGCGGAGGACUAUCCAAAGUUGAGAGAACUCAUACAAAGGAAAGAUGAAAUUGUUGCUAACUCAGCUUCACCGCCAAUGUAUUACAAGUGUGACCUGCGUGAACAUGUUCUUUCUCCAGAAUUUUUUGGUACCAAAUUCGAUGUUAUUCUUGUGGAUCCUCCAUGGGAGGAGUAUGCACAUCGUGCGCCAGGAAUCACAGAUCACAUAGAAUAUUGGAAUGCUGAGGAGAUUAUGAAUUUGAAGAUUGAGGUUAUUCCUGUUUCUUUCUUUCAACCUUUCUCUUUUUGGAGUUCAUUUAUGCUGCAGAAAUAACAUGUCAAAGUGUAUUUUUGGAUCAACAGGCUAUUGCAGAUACACCCUCGUUUGUGUUCCUUUGGGUUGGUGAUGGUGUAGGCCUUGAGCAAGGUCGUCAAUGUCUAAAGAAGGUACCAUAGCCUGCUAGUUUUGUACUUCAACUAGCUGGUUGACCGUGUGUUGCAUCAUAUUUCCAUGAAAAAGUAGUUAGAGUUAUAGGCUCUAACUAUUCGAUUACAUAUAAAAUUAACUAAUUAAGCCACAAAGGAACCACAUAGGUAUAAAGGGGAAGGCCCUCUAUGCAUUAUCUAACACAUACAUAGGUAUACCGUAUACACAAAUCAUUGCACUGAAGAUCCUUAUGUAGAACCAACCACAACCAUCACUAACUGUACUUUUUAUAGAAGUAAAGAUACUUGCACAAUUAUUCUUUGUGUAAUGACAUCCAUUUUGGGGCGGGAUCUUGAAAUCAGUUUACAGUAGGGUGACCUGGCUGCUCUGCUAAACUUUAGCCAUGAUGUGCUACAAUCAUGCAUUUUGCCCUCUUAGGGAAGGCAUAGCAAUAUAAACAAUGUCUAUUGCUUUCAUUUCAUCUAGAUAUGUCUUCAAACUUGCAGCUAUUGAUGAAAUGCUGCAAUAACUAAUAAGAUGAGCCUGAAAGACUUUUCUAUUUUCAGUGGGGAUUCCGUAGGUGUGAGGAUGUUUGCUGGGUGAAAACCAACAAGAAAAACGCAACUCCAAGUCUGCGGCAUGACUCUCAUACAUUGUUGCAGCAUUCAAAGGUAGUGUCGCUAGUAUGAUAUACUAAUGUAUAGUUGUGCUGCCAUGUUUAUAUUCUCUUCUCCCUGUAUGUCUCUGGCUAUCUUAUGAAGUAUCUACUCUUUCCAUGUGCAGGAGCAUUGCUUGAUGGGCAUAAAAGGAACAGUGCGUCGUAGCACGGAUGGUCAUGUCAUCCAUGCAAAUAUUGACACAGAUAUAAUUAUAGCUGAAGAACCAACUGAUGGUAUUAUUUCUUAGGUUUUAUAAUCUCUAUUCCUAUCUUUUGUAUAUGCUUGAUAUAUACUAUUUGCCUUAGACCAAGGGCUAUCAUUUUCAAUGAUUGGGUGAAUAAACUCAGUAGACUUAUUUUCUCCAAAAUUUUCCUUUCUUUUUUCAUCCUGUUUAAAAUGGAGUUUUCUGUUUUUGUUGCUGCUAUGGUAUGAAUAUUCCGGUUUAGUCCACCAAAAUGCAGUACUGUUUUCUAAAUUUGGCUUGGUUGUCAAAAACAUAUUUGUCUUUUUUUUUAGGAAUUUGGGUUUUACAAAUUAUCUGAAGCAAAUUGUUCACUUUGUUGAUACCAUUUCCUCUGACAUGCCUAGUUGUUCAUAGUAUGCUUGAUGUCUUUUGAUCUACAGUAAUCAUAAUUGUGAUUUCAAAAAAUGAAACUAGAUCAUAUAUUAUUGACUAUCCUCAACACCUGUAGAAAGUAUAACACUAUAACAGUAGGUCUGCUUCUCUUGUUGCAAUAAAAUCAAAUGCUAGAUUGUGAAUUAUUCUUUUCAUUCUUAGAUGGUUGCUCUUGAUGUGCUUUCUCUGUAGGUUCAACAAAAAAGCCCGAGGACAUGUAUAGGAUCAUUGAGCAUUUUGCUCUUGGAAGGCGUCGACUUGAACUCUUUGGUGAGGAUCAUAAUAUCCGUCCAGGCUGGCUUACUCUUGGGAAAAAUCUAUCUUACUCCAACUUCAACAAAGAGGUUGGUAGCUUGACAUACAACAUCAUGUGUAUACACACACGCAUGCCCUUCUAUGCCACGAUUUCUGCAGAUCUUCUUUUUACAUCGUUUCUGUUAUGAUUUCUCUCACACAGGCAUAUAUUAAGAAUUUUGCGGACAAGGAUGGGAAAGUAUGGCAAGGAGGCGGCGGUCGAAACCCUCCACCGGAGGCUCCUCACCUUGUUGUGACAACUCCAGAGAUCGAAAGCCUCAGGCCCAAGUCACCACCGGCAAAGAACUAAUAGCUGCGGUCAAUUUUACAAUGCUGGCUGCAUUUUUGAAACUGUAGCUUUAACUUUGUUGAAGGUCCAGCUCUGGCCUUGUUGCUGGGAGGAUGCAGCCAGUAUAUUUGUUCUUGCUGCAUGCCAAGGCCCUCAGAAUCGUAAGAUUGAUGCUAAAUCCGGAUGCUUCUAUUGUCUUGUAUUUUCUUUUUGUCAAAUCGUGCAAGAAACAGAAACUGUCUAUACCAUACCAGUCUUGCAAAUCGUUUCUGGAACCCUGCCUACCUGAUUGAUAAGAUGUUGGAACCAUGGAUAACUAUCCAUGGUUUUUUUAUACGUUAUAGUAUAUUUGGAAGGACUUCUCUCGAGACAUGCACAUGUGCACUCUCAGACAGGCACCGAUUUGACAAACCUGGAUGAUGACGAGAGUUUUCAGACUAAACAACUUAGCAAGGCGCUACCCUCUAAUUGACUAGCUUUACGUUACAGCACAUGGGCAACGACAGCACUAGCUGCCUUGUCCUUUUUAUCGGCCGCAACGAAGUGAAUUCCAACCGGGUGACGCACGAGCCGUGCGACUCGUUUUCGAAGCCAAAUCGGAUCGUCCCGUCUCGCCGCCGAAUGAAUGAUUGCGCGCAUCGGCGAGCUUCGCUAGAAGAACAGGCAUCAGGGACACGAUAUUUCGUCUGAUCUGUAGCCGAAACUUUUUGGAAAAAAAAAGGUUUACGCGUUGUCCCUGCCGAUGGAAUCUUGCAGGGGAUGGAGAUUUCGCCGCGUGAUUCGGGGGGCCACGACGCGCGCUCCCAUUGCGGGCCUCCAUCCACGCGAUCAGCUCCGUUUUGGCCUGGUCCCAUGCUAAAUGAUUCGCCCAGUCUUCCAGGUGAUCAGGUGAACUGAAGCCACUGCUGCUGCUUGUUUGGAGUACGGCGCAUUGCGUUUGAUGAGCUUAUCGACUUCAAUGUAUUUGUCUGGAAUUAUAGUUUGUAUUUUUAAAAAAAAAAGAAAAAGGAGAAAAUAAACGUAGGUAUGGUCUGGGUCAAUCAUUCCCUGUGCGAACAGCAACAGCGUCUCUCCUCUCUCAUGUCGCUGUUGUGACCUGUACUCCUGUUCCUGUCAGCCCUUUGCUUAGGAUCUUAGCAACGUUUCCACUUGGCCGGGAUAUCCUUUCCGAGACAAAUCCUACAUUAAUGGCUACAGCGAGGGAUCAAGCGUAGAAAUCUGGCCAUCCAUCCAUCCGCCACAAGGAUCCCAAUCCAUGACCAUCUCUUUGCUCCGCAACACACUACUCUCAAGUCCAUACUUGCAUAUAUACAAGCAUUUCAGCUCCACGUAACACACACGGCUACAAGCGUCAACCACGUCGUUUUCCUGCCUUUUAGUUUUUCACCGUGUCUAUCCUCUCGCUCCCUCGUCUGCAUCACUACGCUGCCAGCCAUCAGGGAAAACCACGGCGGCACAUUUACUCGGGCAUUGACCUCAGCCUGCAGGGUGAAAAAACUGAAAAUGACGGCCGUGCUGGGUUACCCUCUGCAGGAUCUGAACGCUGGAUCCCCCUGCUCAAGGAAAAGGCGCUGCAGGGCCCCCGUCUGCACGCUGUAGCCUGAAACAAACCUCAGCGAAACGUGCGAGAGACCCAUCAUCGCCGUUCAGACGGGCAUGCGAAUUAUUUCGCGAGGUGAUGGAUGGAUGGACGGAUGGAUGGCGCGCUGCACCUUCCAGUCUCCAGAGCCAGGGCUUCCCAAAUUUGUCAGGGAAUCGUACCAACAGCGCGUCGGGUGCGAAAGAACCUGCUGCUGCUCCACGAGAUUUCAGUGUCAGGUGCAUGGUCAGUGAUGGACUGAUGGAUGGACGCACAGUGAACUGGGUUCCUGAAGGACUGUAUGCCUGCCUGGCCGAAAACAGCUCGCGUCGCGUCGUCCUCCUUGGAGGAAAAAAAAACGGUGCGCCUGACGGCGGUAGCCGUAGUAGUAGGUGGUAGUGAAUGUGUCGUCGAUGGAUGGAAAUGUACACAUGGUCUUGACAUUUACGGCCACAUCUUGCAAAAAAUAUCCUCUCAACACUAAGGUUGGGAUCACCAAACAGCAAUCUGAACCAUGAACUGUGGGAGCGCAUCUAUCUUGCUGCAUGGGGUCUCGUUUAGAUGCAGCCCAAAUUGCAAAUGUUGUAAACUGGAGUACUGUAGCGAUUUCGUUUGUAUUUGACAAAUUUUAUCUAAUCAUGGACUAACUAUGCUAAAAAGCUUCGUCUCGUGAUAUACAAUUAAACUGUGCAAUUAGUUAUUUUUUUACAUACAUUUACUGCUCCAUGCAUGUGUCCCAAAAUUGAUAUGAUGGAGAGAGAGUAUAAAAAGUUGGAAUUUGGAGGGGAACUAAACAGGGCCCUAGCUAGCCAACUCAUUUCGCGUACCACAUUAACUGAAACUAGGCCGGCACAAAUUUCUAAAGAGAUUUGAUGUGCAGUGUAGGUCAGGUACACGUACGGUCUCCAUAUGAGUAUGAUCAGACUAACUCACACUCUCUCAUGAUCUCAAAUCGGGUAACGCUAAAUCAUGGAACUUUUGGAGGAUACGAUAUGCAUUGUUGUCCCCGUAUGUUUUUGUCAAGAACGUAACCCUAAUGAUGAAAAGCGUACUACCACUCACUUGAGAACAAAUUAAGGAAUAAUGAAGACCAUCGACCGGCUGCUUUUGUCAACGCGUGCUGCUGCACCUUGACCCGAUCAGUAUAGUAGUCUAGAGAUGUGCUAGCUAGCUUCAAGUACGUACGGCAGCAAGUCAACAAGUGAGGCCAUCACAGAGACAAUAACAAUGAUGAACUGACCGCUUGAUUUGUACGUACGUACGUACAUCACCCAGGUGACACGCAUACCACGAGCCCAAAAAACCGUAUUACGUCGUAUGCAGCAGCCAGCAACAAUGUCCAACGAGAUCUCAACAUCUGCUGGGAAAUGCCUGGCCUCUACUCACCCGAUCAUGGUCCAAAGUCCAAGCCGUCGUAGCCUUCAACCGACCUACUACUAGCUAGCUAGCAGCCGCAGGGAGAUGAUAAAGCAGCGACGAUUUGAAUGGCUUCAGCGCGCGACUUGUACGUGCGUGAAGCCAAGACACAGCUAGCCGAGAGAGGAGAGAGAGCCCACAGUGUGAAGCGUUGGGAGAGCGAACCAGAGCUUACGCGUUGAUGGAUGAUGGUGUGAAUGGAUUUGGGAAGAUUUUGCAGGGAUCCAUCGGAGGUGCCGUCGAAAUCGAGCGGAGGACCUACCCAUGGUUUCGUGGCGUGCAAUGGUCUCGGCAAUGCGGGGCGACUUGUGAACGCAUUGAAUGCGCGGCCGGGCAGCAUCUACUCUGUAGCUUAACGACGUGCGCAGUAGCUGCAACGUAACUCUGACAAUCGGCGUACGCGACUCCGGUUGACCCUCCGGGGGCCAUCCCAACCCUCUUAGCGUCACAUAAAAAUAUUUAACUUAUGUGGUACCAUAAUAAAUAAGAAAAAAUGGAGAGACAAACGUCCAUCGCAGAAAACGAGCGUGAACAGGAGUACAAGAGCUGGCAACGUACGUCAUCUGGUGUGAUAAAUCAUAGCAACAACGACAGCUACUCUAUUCAAAUUUACAAUGCUUAAUUCGUUUCACUCUUUGAUCAAUAAUUACUCUAUCAAUAUAUGAUUUUUAUGACAUAAAGUUAAUGCUAUUAAAUUUGUAUAUUUAACGAUCAUACGUUUAUAUGAUAUAAACAAAAUAAUUAAUUAUUGGGCCAGCCUUGUUCUAUUCUAGUUAGGACCAGUAGUAAGAAAACGGGUGGAGCUAGCACCUUUUUUAAGAAGUCACAGGAGCAGUUAAAACCGGUGGAAAAAUUGCAGUACACGACGAGAGGCCGAGGUAGACGCGGACCGCGCACGAAAUCAUCAUGCAGCUCCUCCUUUUUCAGUGCGGAGGUGACAUCCAAAUACGCAUUGAAUCUCGUGGGGGUGCGCAUCCAUAAAUGCCUUCCCACCUGGACAAGCACACGACCUCGAUCCUCCGGUCGCCCUUGUUGGAUAUGGAUCCUACCCGUCUGUAGAUUUUGGUCAGGGACACUUUUGUCUUGGAGCUAGAGGCAGCAGUGGUCGAGAUGGCAACCAUCUCCAUGAUCGCCUCGCUAGAACUCGAGCGAGGGCAGCUAGCGCACAUGCCGGUGCAGUGAACGCACGUUGUUUGAGAGACAUGAUUUUUUUUAUUUUAUUUUUUUGAACAGAAGCCGACAGAUAGAGGCAGGAAUUGAAACCCGGGAGAGUGUUGACGGAUUCACAUUCAGAUGAUGAGCUUUUCAAGGUUCCGGCAUGAAGGAAUGGAUUGGGCGGAGGAAGAAGGGUGCCGCCGAUCAACUGAGGCGAUUGACAUGUGCACGGAGCAACUCUGCUCGAGCUCUUGACGACGAGUACAUGUCAAUCUGCAGUGGCAUCUCUACACAAUACACUGCGAUGUUCAACAGCAAAGUCCUUAUUUCUUAGCGUAGGUGCGAUCUUAUUGAGCUACUGCCCGGCCUAUCAGUGUCUGCAACUCUGUAAUUCUUCUUACCGGCUAUAUAAUGUUCAGGAAAAGGUACAGCCUACAGGGUAAUGCAUCGGACCAUUGAACAUUGACCGUCUCGUUCCAAUUGAGCACCUGCCGGCGCCGCAGCUCGUCGGAAGUGGGGUCCUAGGAGGCGGCGAGGGCGGAGGCGGUGUCCUGGCCUGGGGGCACGUCGAUCCCCGGCAGAAGCCGCACGUGGGAAUGAACCAGGGGCUAUGCGGCCGGUGUGGGUGAGGUUGGCGAGGAGCCCCAGCAUGGGGGCGACCCGGUGGCGGAAGCCGCGGUCGGCGAAGUGGCGCGCCCAGAGCUUGCACGCGAGCGCCGCGCGGAGGCGGCGCGCGUUGCCGUCCGGCGGGACGCGGAGCAAGAAGAUGAUGUCCUCGGCGAUGUCCUCUCGUCCGGAUCUGACAGGUGGGGCCAUAGGAGCUGUGGGUGUGACGAUCCGCUUUGACUCGGUAUUGGGAGAUCCUGGGCCCGCGAAUGGGAUCCGACGGCCCAGGUGGCCUAGAGCCGGGACGGUAAAUGAAAUACCGUCCGGGGUGGACGGUGUUUCAUUUACCGUCCACCCCGGGUGUCCAGCGCGCGCUCCCCGCUCGCUGCCGCCACCGCGCCCGGCGUCGCCGGAGGUCACAGCGUUGUGUACAUGCGCGGUGCUUCCGCCGGAGGCCGUCGUCCACGUUUCCUCGACGGCGCCGCGCCGUGCCCGAGUACCUCCUUCCGUUGCCGGCUCCUUGGGCACCUACUCGCCGCGGAAUGGCAGGCGCACGCGCGGCGCCGUCCCGUGGCGCGCGCGUGCCGCCGCCGCCGACGCCUCAUCGCCGUGGGCCUCCAUCAUGUUCUCCUCCGAGAUAACAGCAGCCGCCGCUUCGACGAACUCGCCGAGCCAACGGUGCCGGCGCGCCUCCGCGGCCUCCGCCAUGUGUUGCCAUUGUUAGAUAGGAAGGUUUGAUGUAUAUUUGCCUUAACGUAUCUUGCCAAAGCCAAGAGAUUUAGUUCAUCUAUGUAUAGGAAUAGACUAUCUAUGUAUAGGAAGGUUAUAUUUGGAUAGUCUCUUGGCUUAGCUUCCAAAGCUUUCACGCCUAUAUGUAAGUGCUGCAUGCAGGGCUGUUCUGCAUCAAUCAACACGCAGCUCACAAGCGACCCAAGAUAGGGCGUCGUGCUUCCGCUCCUCUGAUCUUUCUACAUGGUAAUCAGAGCCUUAGUCCGUGAAUAGAUUGCAUCGCUCUUGAGCAACUAUCAUGGCGAGUUCAUCAUCUAGUUCCUCCAAUCCUCUCCUCGCCCAACCCGUCACAGAGAAACUCGGCAAGAAUAAUCACGCAUUGUGGAAAGCACAAGUGCGUGCGGCGAUCCGAGGCGCACGUCUUCUGGGCUAUCUCACUGGUGACGCCAAGAUGCCGCCGGCCGAAGUCGUCCAGAAGGGCGCCGAUGGGAAGGAGGUGAAGGUCACCAAUCCAGAGCGUGAGGACUGGGAGGCUACGGACCAGCAAGUCCUUAGCUAUCUCCUGGCGUCGGUCACCAAGGAUGUCCUCACGCAGGUGGCCACCUGUGCCACUGCCGCCGACGCCUGGAAGAUCAUCGAAGACAUGUUUGCGUCACAGACGCGAGCAAGAUCCGUCAACAUGCGGAUUGCCCUGGCAACGACCAAGAAGGAGAACUCCACCGUUGCUGAAUACUUCGCCAAGAUGAAGGCUCUUGGCGACGACAUGGCGGCUGCAGGACGGCCCCUAGAAGAUGAAGAAUUGGUGGAGUACAUCAUCACCGGGCUCGGCGAAGAAUUCUCACCGAUCGUCUCCGCUCUAUGCGCUCGAGUGGAACCCAUCUCAGUUGGUGAACUCUAUUCUCAACUCCUCAAUUUUGAGACUAGAAUGGACUUGAUCUAUGGAGGAGGCAGCUCUGGCUCGGGGUCGGCAAAUUCCGCCACCCGGGGUCGUGGAUCGUGGCGCGGCAAGACUCAGUCACACGGGAGAGGCUCCACUCGUGGCGGUGCAUCUUCUGGUCGCGGUUUCCAGCAUUCUGGUCGCAGGAACUCAGGAGGACGCGGCUCCUACAACAACAACAACUCCAACUCUCGUGGCUUCUACAACAACAGCCGCGGGAUGUCAGGCGCUCCAACCGACUCUGAUGCGAACAGAUGUCAGGUAUGCUUCAAGAAAAACCACUCGGCUGCAGAGUGUUGGCACAGGUUCGAUGAAAACUUCAUGCCAGAUCAGCGCCUUGUUGCAGCAGCAACAUCCUCGUACGGUGUGGACACCAACUGGUACACUGAUACCGGUGCCACAGAUCAUGUGACGGGACAUCUCGAGCAGUUGUCCAUGAAGAAAAAGUAUCAAGGGAAUGAUCAGAUUCACACGGCGAGUGGAACAGGUAUGGACAAUAGUCAUAUUGGUCAUACUACAGUUCAUACCCCUAUUCGUGAUCUGCAUUUAAAUAAUGUUCUAUGUGUUCCACAUGCCAAGAAAAAUCUUGUUUCUGUUCAUCGCCUUGCUGCUGACAACUCUGCUUUUCUAGAAUUUCACCCUGAUUUCUUUCUUAUUAAGGAUCAGGAAACGAAGAACAUACUCCUUAGAGGAAGAUGCCACAGAGGCCUCUAUCCCUUGCCAGCACCAUCAAUAAAGCAAGUCUACAGUACCACUAGAUUGCCUCUAUCUCAGUGGCACAGUCGACUGGGUCAUCCUUCAUCCUUUAUUGUUAAGCAAGUUGUCAGUAGCAAUAAUCUUCCCUAUCGUGAUGAGUCAUUGAGUCAGUCAGUUUGUGAUGCCUGUCAACAAGGGAAGAGCCAUCAGUUGCCCUAUCCCAAGUCGUCUAGUAUUUCUAAAUUUCCUUUAGAACUUGUGUUCUCUGAUGUCUGGGGUUAUGCUCUUGAAUCAGUUGGUCGAAAAAAAUAUUAUGUGAGUUUUAUUGAUGAUUUUAGCAAGUUCACAUGGAUUUAUUUCUUAAAGCACAAAUCUGAAGUGUUCCAAAAAUUCCAGGAAUUUCAGCUCCUUGUAGAACGCUUGUUUGACAGAAAAAUCCUUGCUAUGCAAACUGACUGGGGAGGUGAAUAUCAAACUCUAAAUUCCUUUUUCCAUAAGACAGGCAUAGUUCAUCUUGUUUCCUGUCCACACACCCAUCAACAGAAUGGGUCUGCUGAGAGAAAACACCGUCACAUAGUUGAAGUCGGGCUCUCCUUGUUAUCCCAUGCGAGUAUGCCACUCAAAUUCUGGGAUGAAGCUUUUCAAACAGCUGUUUAUCUUAUCAAUCGUGUGCCUAGUAAAACGAUUGGUUUCACUACGCCCCUAGAGCGUUUAUUCCAUCAAAAACCCGACUACUCUUCAAUGAGAAUUUUUGGGUGUGCAUGUUGGCCUCAUCUUCGCCCAUAUAAUACACACAAACUCCAGUUUCGAUCCAAGCGAUGUGUUUUUCUUGGUUACAGUACCGUGCACAAAGGCUACAAGUGUCUUGAUGUCUCCUCUGGCCGUGUUUAUAUUUCUAGAGAUGUAAUUUUUGAUGAAAAUAUUUUUCCAUUCAGUGAAUUACAUCCUAAUGCCGGUGCUAGACUUCGCUCCGAAAUUCUUUGCUAUGGUUUAGGGGGAGAACAUGUAGCAGACCAAUAUAUUAAUUGUCCAUCUAAUGUUUUCUCUGAGUUGAAUGUUGAAAACCAGGAAGAAUCAAGUGUACAGGCUGGAGUAACCGAAGCAAAUUCUGAUUGCACAAACACACAAGAAGACUUGGUUGCAGGUGCUUCAGGAUCGUUGCCAACAUCAGGAGAAUCAGGCACAGGUGCAGGCGACUCUCCUGCUGAUCGCCUCGACCACCAGCCAGCAGCCACGUCGGCAACCGUUUCUCCUCCGCCGACCGGGACAGGCGUCAGCGACCGUGGAGACGAACCAGUGAACGUCACAGCUGCAUCUGCACGGGCGGGAGAACUCUCUGCUGCUCAUGACGGUACAGAGGGAAUUUCUUCUGCUGCGGUGCCAGCUGCAUCAGUACAUCGUCCUGCUACCAGAUCACAGAGUGGUAUACGCAAAGAUAAGAUUUAUACUGAUGGUACUGUCAGGUAUGGUUUCCUAACAACUACAGGAGAACCUAGUACCACUGAUGAGGCUUUAGCUGAUAAUAAUUGGAAAGAAGCAAUGGAUCUUGAGUAUAAUGCUCUUAUGAAAAAUAAAACUUGGCACCUUGUUCCACCACAGAGAGGUAGGAAUGUCAUUGGUUGUAAAUGGGUUUACAAAAUUAAAAGAAAAUCUGAUGGAAGCUUGGAUAGAUAUAAAGCUCGUCUUGUGGCUAAAGGUUUUAAACAGAGAUAUGGGAUAGACUAUGAAGAUACUUUCAGUCCUGUUGUUAAAGCUGCCACUAUUCGUAUUAUUUUGUCUCUUGCUGUGUCUCGGGGCUGGACUCUAAGGCAGCUUGAUGUUCAGAAUGCUUUCCUUCAUGGUGUUCUUGAAGAAGAGGUAUAUAUGCAACAACCACCUGGUUUUGAAGAUCCCUCGAAACCAAAUUUUGUUUGUCGGCUAGAUAAAGCUUUAUAUGGUCUAAAGCAGGCUCCUAGAGCAUGGUAUUCUAGACUCAGUACCAAAUUAUUAGCACUCGGUUUUCAAUCCUCCAAGGCAGAUACUUCACUAUUCUUUUAUAAUAAACAUGGUGUUAGUAUCUAUAUUCUUGUUUAUGUGGAUGACAUUAUUGUUGCGAGCUCUACGUCUCAGGCUACCACAGCAUUGUUGCAAGAUCUGCAAGGGGAGUUUGCUCUAAAGGAUUUGGGAGACCUUCAUUAUUUUCUUGGGAUUGAAGUCACCAAGGUACAAGAUGGAAUUGCUCUGACUCAAAGCAAAUAUGCUUCUGAUCUUCUUAAAAGAGUAGGUAUGGUGGAUUGUAAGCCAGUUGCUACUCCAUUAUCUACUAGUGAAAAAUUAUCACUACAUGAAGGAUCAUUAUUGGGACCAGAUGAUGCAUCACGGUAUCGAAGUAUUGUUGGGGCACUUCAGUAUCUUACGCUUACUAGACCUGACAUUACUUUCUCUGUUAAUAAAGUUUGUCAGUUUCUUCAUGCACCAACCACAGUUCAUUGGGCAGCAGUGAAAAGAAUUUUGCGAUACUUGAAACAAUGCACAGAAUUGGGAUUAAAAAUACAAAAGUCUUCUUCGACCUUGGUAAGUGCUUUUUCGGAUGCAGAUUGGGCUGGUAAUAUUGAUGAUAGAAGAUCUACAGGAGGAUUCGCUGUGUUCAUAGGCUCAAAUCUUGUAUCCUGGAGUGCAAGGAAACAAGCUACUGUUUCAAGGUCUAGUACUGAAUCAGAAUACAAGGCAAUUGCCAAUGCUACAGCAGAAAUUAUGUGGGUUCAAACUCUACUUCGUGAACUGGGAAUUCCUAGUCCAAGAGCAGCGAGACUUUGGUGUGAUAAUAUUGGUGCAAAGUACCUGUCUGCUAAUCCUGUCUUUCAUGCUAGGACAAAGCAUAUUGAAGUUGAUUAUCAUUUUGUCAGAGAAAGAGUUGCACAGAAAUUAUUGGAAAUUGAAUUUGUAUCAUCUGGUGAUCAAAUAGCGGAUGGCUUUACAAAGGCCUUGUCUGUUCGGCUAUUGGAAAACUUCAAAUCCAAUCUACACCUAGAACGGUUGAGAUUGAGGGAGGCUGUUAGAUAGGAAGGUUUGAUGUAUAUUUGCCUUAACGUAUCUUGCCAAAGCCAAGAGAUUUAGUUCAUCUAUGUAUAGGAAUAGACUAUCUAUGUAUAGGAAGGUUAUAUUUGGAUAGUCUCUUGGCUUAGCUUCCAAAGCUUUCACGCCUAUAUGUAAGUGCUGCAUGCAGGGCUGUUCUGCAUCAAUCAACACGCAGCUCACAAGCGACCCAAGAUAGGGCGUCGUGCUUCCGCUCCUCUGAUCUUUCUACAGCCAUGUCCCUGUCCGGCGCCGCCAAGGCCAAGCUCCUCACUCUUCUCGAGCUUAACUGGCACGGCCGGUGCGGCUGUCUAUAUGCAAUGCAUCUCUACAUAAUAACAAUACAUGGAGGAUACGUGAAUCAACACGUGAAGGGUUGCUUUCCAAGUCCUGGAGGAUCCAUCUUUAGUGCCCUCGCUAAGUGUAUCAGACUAAUUCAGAAAAUAUACGCUCUACGGAUGGUGCCCAUAGCAAACAUUAAGCAAGGUACUUACAUUGAGGUCGUCAAUGGCUACUAAUUAAAGUUAUAUGAAUAAUAGCAAGCAAAGCUUCCUACAUUUACAACACCCAGUCAAUCACUCGUUACAUCAUAGAGAGCAACCACAAGAGCCAUCCAGAUGACCAAUUUCAGCUCGUUUGACAAAUUAAGAUUCUUGCACAGGAUAAGACCAGAGAAAGGAAGCUUAACCUACCAACUUCUUCGUACUGAAUGCUACCGGUAUCAUUCAAGCAAGACUGAAGCUUCCUUGCUUUGUGAUCCUUCUCCUUUUUUAGGAAGGCUCUGUUGCCCCCUCUGUUGCUUUCUGCCGCAGUUGCAGAAAUGACGUGGCGCUUAAUGUGCUAAUGAGCAACGAACAGUAGAGAUUGUUAAUUAGUACUGGUAGAUGAUCACAAUCUCAUCAGCUCGCUUCGUCUUCUUCCCUGCCUUUGUUCGCACGCCAGUGGCCAGCAAUGGGGUCUUGCGAGUCGAUCAAGAUGGCCGUCGUACUUGGAAUCUACCAUACACGCAUCCAUUCAUCCCGGCCGGCUUGCAUUGGUUGCUAAGCUAUGCGUGCGUCAACUGAUCAAAAUUCAGCAAAUAGUUAAUGUCGGGGCAUGAUUAGCAACAAUCAUAAAGACAUUUUGCUGCACUAAUAGCAGUAGCCCUCUCGCUCCCCCCUGUCCGUCAGAUAUCGAAUCCGAACGUCUGGUUCAGCUGAGUAUCUGACAGUGUCAUCAUGCUUGCUUUACGGGGAAAAAGCGCAGCAGAGGUUUAGUCUCGAUGUAAACCCCAUUUAUGGAUGGAAAAGAUCCAUCCAACAGUUCAUGUUCAUCCAUGGAUGCCGCAGUGCAGGCAUGGAUCAUUGAUCUUGGUCGUCGCAUUAAGAUCGCGAUCUUCCCCGGCUGGCCCUGCUCAUCGAUCAGCUCAUCAUCUUGCAGUUGAAUGAACAGUCCCCCAGCCCCACCAAAUAAAGCAAUGCCGGGGGGCUUGCUACAUCCAUCGCGAUUAGUUAGGUAAACCAUGCGUUGUUAGACCUUAAUGAGCCCGCCAGACUUUUUUUACCCGCACCACGUACCCGCCGGGCGCGCAACGCACGCAUACGACCGGCCGACGGCGACGUGGAUUGGGCGGAGGGCGGACGGCGACAAGCCAACCGUCCUGGCUCGUCGUCCGCGGCGAAAGGGAUCGGAUUCAUACGAGCUAGCAAAGCUCUGCGCCUGUGCCUCGCUAGGUCUCGCCACCACCUUCCGCUGCCUGCUGCUGCUGCGAGCGCUAGAUGCGAAGCUGCGCCGUCGCUGUCGGCGUUAACAGGGCCGUGGACCGGUGGCGUCCGUACCAGGAUCGCGUCUCGGCGGGGGAUCGAAUUGAGCGAGCUGCUGGCAUUAGGAAGGAAAAAAAAAAGGCAGCGGCGAGCCCUCCAUGGCCGCACACGUCGCCCCGGCCCCGCUCGCCGGCCGCUUAUUUAAGCCGGCCUCCCCGCCGCCCGGCGUCGUCUGCCUCACUUGACCAAACCACCAGCAGCAAGGCAUCCACCGGCCUACCAGAGAUAGACGUGUAUAAAUAAGGCCGCCUCGUACGAAGCCGGUAGCCGCGCGCGCACGACAGAUCGAGCACCGUCGCCGCGCGCUCGCCAGCACGAAAGCUUGGUGCCGUGUCGUGUUGGGGGCGGCGGCCCGGCCGGCGGCCAUCUUUGGAUUGAUCAGUCGGCGGCGGCGCGGCGGGAGGAUAGCAGUGAGGAGCUGGCCGUGCGAGCCGCGCGCCUGGCUGCUACACGCCGUCGGGGCAUUGUGUAAGUUCCUUUCUGAACUCCCUUUGCUGCUGGUUCUUGUUUUGCUUCCGAUCCAGUCCAGGCAUGCGUACGCGCGUGCAGACAUGAACGGUGAGACAGAUGCGUGCUCUUGAGAACACGUGGACUUGCCGCCCAGCUAGGUGUGCAAUGCAUUGUAUUGUAUCUUGAUCGACAUGGAUAUUUUCAUCACGUACAUAUACAUAAUACACGCAUGUUUUUUUUUCGAAACACAUAUGGCCGUAUGUAGUGCUUUAUUUUUAGAAGAAAAAAACCUUUUUAAAAAAGAAACUUUGUAUCUAUCUUCAGUUCUUGAUCGUCAGAAUAGAUGAUCUCUCAGUCUAGCUCAACAACUAAUGAACCGGUAUUAAUUGGAGUCUUGGAGAGUAGUGGCAGCUAGCUGGAUUACCAUGGCUGAAGCUGAAACGCACAUGUAUACGCGCUUGCUUUGUGCUCGAUCGGUGCGCGUAGUACCAUAAAAAAAAGCCAGAUCGCACUAGCGUAUAGUAGUAGCACAGAUACUGGUAGUUUCUGCGCGAAAAGCCGUGGAGAGGCAUGGGGAGGAGUGAGUACUGGAGCAGGCACUACGCUAGCUACCAACAGCUUGGGGGUAGCUGCUGCUCGGUCGGACGGGAUCACGGGCUGGACUUGGAAGCGUGACUACUUCAACCUCCCUGGAGGCUCUCUCCUCUGGGGCAACAUGGCCCACCGUAGGUUCUGCAAUAGCCGUCUACUGUCUUUUUUUUUAUAAGAACCGUCUACUGUCUUUGUCUGUACUAGUCUGAUAUGCUUGGCAACCAAAACGUUUAGUUUUUGAGAUAAAGGAAGCAUUAUUUCGAGAUGAUAUUGUUCCGGCCUCUGACAACAUCAUCAGUGACCCGGCAAUCCAAAUUGGGCAGGAUUUCGCUAACACUAGCGCUAAUCACCCGUUGGCAUCUAACAGGUUAUUAGCUCCAAGAUUUUUCUGCAAAAAGGAAAAACAGCAUCAACCACAGGUAUAUAAUGUAACAGUACAUAAACAUUUACUGGCCAAGAACCCAUCAGUCAGCAGCCAGGCGCCAUCAGACGCCAUUGUUUACGUUUUUUUGUCAGCACGAGACACUGGCGGUAGGUAAGUAGGCUUAGUUCCUUUUAAGGAGAAAAAGAAGGCAUCGAUGAUGUGUGUGUCCUGGCCGGAGCAACCCUGACAGGCAGAUCGAACAACGAAGCUUAUCCCUGAAACAAGUUGACAAACAAUCCCUUUUCUCGCGGUGUUCCUUGCUGCUGCUGCUGCUGCUGCUGCAAGUCUGCAACGAUCAACCUUUAUAGCUCCCAAAGCGACGGCCAGGAAAAAACCUGACACGAUCUUAUCCCCCAACGCGCCUAGUUUGUCAACUCAAAACUCCAUUGGUGGGUGUAAAAGAUCCAUCCCUCUUUCCCCAUGUGACUGAUUGCACGGACGCGGGCCUCAGUUGGGCCAAAAGCCCGGCGCAACUUGCAGUACUUGUAGGUGAAUUGUCCCGGUCUGAUGUCGUUACGGCACUGACGAAACACACCACAUGACUCAUCUAGUUGUCUCUCUGCCUCUGAUCUGCUAAGGAUCAAACCACACCAGAUGAUGCAGGCGAUUAAAUUCGAUGUCGCCAUCUACCUAAUACGAGAUCGAUCGAGCCCCGAAUCGUCUCUGAUUAGGAAGUCGCUGUUGGUGUUUACUGUUCUAGCUUUACUGACAUGAAUGGAGCUAGUGAUAUUAUUGGAGAAAAUCACAGGACACCAUCGUAGACUGCAGAGACUAGCAUAGCUGGUCAUCGGCGUUGCUGACAUGCAAGUUCAUAGACUUGCAUUGGUUGCUACUUGCCAAUGCUUUCUCUUCGAUUUCAGAAAAGAAGAAAUGCUUUCUCUCUUCAUGGGUCUACCACUUCCAUCAUGUUCCAACAGUCUAGUGUUCCACUAGGCUUCGUGCUCUGGCUUUUGUUUAGACGGGAUAAGUCUUGUCCUCAAGUUAAAUUAUAUGUACUGAGUGCUAUAUAUUACUCAAUUAUUGGUCGGUACGGUCAGUAGAACCUUUUUUGAGUUCGUCAGAUCUGUGGCUGUCCACAAGUUUCUUGACACCUGGCUCAGCUCUCUUCCACUAUCGAGGCUGCAAAUCUUCUAUUUCAAAAAAAAAAAAGAGGAGAGAAGGCACCAUCUGAGGGAGCACUGUUACUAGUGUAGACUGUACUGGGUCUAACGGGCCUUUUUAAGACCUCAUCACAGAUGAUGCCACUAACGUCAACCCAUCCCUGUCGGUGAGUGCAACCGAUGCUGUUGAGCUAGACUAGAAAUAAAGCUUCGUUUCAAGUGCUGGAAUUUUCCCGGAUUCCUGUAGGAGUGGAUCAUAUUUUCCUUCUUCCUCUCCAAGCAUAUGUCCUUAUAGCUAGACCUAUAUACGGUUCCUUAUGUAUUGUAGCUCCUACCAAAAUCCAAAAUGAUCCUUAUCAACAUCGACAACAAUCCUAUUCCCUCCAUUCUAAAUUAUUAGUCAUUUUAGUUAUGCAUUUAGAAAUAAAUAUAUAUGUAGAUACAUAGUAAAAACUAUGUAUCUAGAAAAAUUAAAAUAACUAAUAAUUUAAUAUGGAGGGAAUAUUUAUUACACUGAAAACUUGUCUCGGAGGAGUGCUCCUGGAGCCUCUAAAUCGCCAAUACCGCUUUUGUUCUCCUAAAAAGAUUUUGCAUAAUUGCAUUUAUUCUCCGGAUAUAUACCAGACGACGUAAAGCAAUGGAGAUUGAUGUCUGCCCUCUAGUUUUGUCGCUAGAACCGGACGCGUUUCUUGGAUAUGAAGAAACAAGCAACAUCAGUCAGCUGGGCAAACUCCCACGCGCAAAACCCAAAUCAGCAACAUCAAUGUCAUGGUUCCGUCCCUAAUCGUGGCUCUCACAGGAAUGGAAUAAACGGUUCACUAGCAUGGAGAAGAAAAUGCUAGGUAUACUCCGUAGCUCCCACGGACCAACCAGUAUAAGAGUGCUAAACCGCCAACUCUUUUUUUUUGAGAAAAUGCUAAACCGCCAACUCUAGAAAAAAAAAUAACAGCUCCUUCAUCAUUGUAAAAGAAUAUAUGUAUUACUAUCGUUUUGACAUUGACAUAGUAUCCAACACGCACUUUUGACCAUUACUUUCCAUAACAUUUCCCUUGUAAAAAACCAUUAGUAAGUCUCUUCAUCCAUAAAUUGUCAUAAACCGAUCUUCAAAAAACAUUACUUAUUUUUAUUUUUUUACACUAUAUAUUUUCAAAAUUAGGAUUUGGCACUGAAAAAGCCGAAUAAUAAGGGGAAAAAAGAGAUGUACAAAAAACAUCACAUCCAUAUCACCAAAAGAUCUGCGAGAACACUAUAUUUUUUUACCAGAUUGUUUGAGAAGCUUAACCUGUUCCAACUUGCUGAAAUGAUGUCCAAAAUACAAACGUAGAAAUUCCCUAACCAUAAGAAACCUAAAAAAGGGAUAUUAUUCACUUAUUGGAUGAACUUUGAUCCACGAAUUAAAUGAAAAGGUUAUCCUAGAUAAAGUAGUGGAUUAAUGUUUCCAUAUAUACUCUAUACAGAUCCGGAAACAAACAAGCUCUCUAGCCUAAAAUAAUCACCUGUUACCCAGAAAACGGGAGCUCCAACGGUGUGCCCAUAGUAAAUUGCCAUCCUAGGAGCUCCCACUGCACGUGGGCCCCAACUUCCCUUUUUUUGAACGUGGGUCCCAACCCCCGUCACCCCCACCACAUCCCGUGAAACCGGAGGCAGUGGCCUUUCCCCCCCGCCCACAGGGCUCCCAUGGCGACGCGCCCCUAUUUAGCCGCCCCCACCCUCCAUGUCCAUGCCCACCACCGCCACUUUAUUCUCCCCUCCAAUCCGCCACCUCGUCGUCCUCCUCCUCGCGAGCUCUAGCAGCCUGGCAGCACUACUGUGGACUACCCGCCCUUUCAUCCGAUCCCUACUCGAAGGUGAGCAGCCCCGCGCCCAUGUCGAAUUCCUCUCGUCGCGAUCCGGUCGUAGCGUAGCACACAAAUACCCCUUCUUGUAACCCGUGCCUGCGCGGAUUUGUGCCGGAUCUUCUGUCGUCGGUAUGGCCGGCGCUAAAUCCUCUGCAAAACCAGUUUGAUCUGCACUGAAAUCUUGUUUGGGCAUGUAGGGGUUUUAGUGUUCUACCUCUGCUUGUUUUGUUCUAGUCGGCAGCAGCCCAAAUCUAGGGAACCUUUUUGGCUUUAUUUGGAUUUGUGAACUGUGUGAAAUGAAAGCUUUGUAUUGAUAAGGAUUCUUCUCGCUUUGAAUUGAUGCAGGAUACAUCGUGAGUAGGCGUGAUGGUGCUUGAUACCAAUACGUGUCCCCCGUUUUCGUGCAGUCUAACACCGUUUCUUGCUAAUUCGCAUUAGUUUAAUGGGACGAAUAAACUGUUUCCAUUGGGGAUUCUUGCACAUUUCUUGAACAUUUUCUCUCUCUUUUUUGAGUAUUAUUACUUUCUGGGGGUUGAUGUCCUUUCUUUUUGUGUGUGUCUGCUCCAAUUUUGCAGGAUCUUGAGUUAAGUUGGGCAAGGAGGUGGUUCAUUCCAGCAGGGCCCUUCUCGUGAGCCUACUAGUCUGACCGGCCUUGGUAUUUGGGGUUGUUCUGUGCUCUCUUUAAUUUGUGAGUUGUGACAGGUUCUUGAAGUGCAAUUGAUAAGAGUUUUAGUUGUAGAGGAAGAGAGGAUUUGCUAAUAUGGCGUUGGCAGGGACCUCCAAAGUAGUGCUGGGAUGUAUCGCCUUUGGGAUUUUCUGGGUGAUGGCCGUCUUCCCCACCGUCCCGUUCAUGCCUGUCGGACGGACGGCUGGGUCCCUCCUUGGUGCUAUGCUAAUGGUCCUGUUCCGUGUCAUCUCCCCGGAGGACGCUUACGCUGCGAUUGACCUCCCGAUCAUUGGCCUGCUCUUUGGGACAAUGGUCGUCAGCAUCUUCCUUGAGAGGGCUGACAUGUUUAAGUACCUCGGCAACCUGCUCUCAUGGAAGAGCAGGGGUAGCAAGGACCUGCUCUUCCGAGUUUGCAUUGUGUCUGCGUUUGCAAGCGCGCUUUUCACCAAUGACACAUGCUGUGUUGUGCUCACUGAAUUCAUCCUCAAGGUUGCCAGGCAGAACAACCUACCACCACAGCCUUUCCUUCUGGCCCUUGCCACCAGUUCUAACAUCGGCUCUGCCGCAACGCCGAUCGGUAACCCUCAGAACCUUGUCAUAGCUGUGGAGAGUGGGAUUUCAUUUGGUCAGUUCCUGCUAGGAAUUUUCCCAGCUAUGAUUGUUGGGGUUCUGACAAAUGCUGCUAUACUCCUUUUGUACUUCUGGAAAUACUUGUCUGUGGAGAAGGACCAGGAAGGCGGGCAACCUGAAGGGCCGGAGGUGGUUGCCGACGAUGAGGUUACCUCACAUCGCUUCACACCGGCUAGGAUGUCACAUGUUUCGUCCCUGAACCCAGAUGAUGUGGAUUGCAUAAGUGAACCAAUCAUCAGGAGCAACAGUGUUAGUACCAGUGUGAACGAGAACCUGAGGAGCAGAAGCAUCAAUUCUGAGGCCGACAUUCAGCUUGCCAUCAAGUCUCUGCGGGCAUCGAGCAUGUCGCACGAGAUGGUAGAGGUCUCGACGGUUCCUGAUAGGAGAGAUGAAGGUGCAUCCUCAAGGAAGUUCACUAGAACUGCUAGCCAGCAAAGGAGUGUGAUAAUAGAGGACCUGCCACCCUCCCCAGAGAGCAAUGGGGAAAAGGAGAAAGAAGCAGAGGUCGCAGAGAAGAGGUGGAAAAUUCUUGUGUGGAAGACAGCUGUUUACCUUAUAACUCUUGGUAUGCUCAUCGCACUUCUAAUGGGGCUUAACAUGUCCUGGACUGCAAUCACUGCAGCUCUGGUUCUCCUGGCACUUGAUUUUACAGAUGCACAGGCUUGCCUUGAGAAGGUAUGCUCCUCAAAUUUUGACCAAUGCUUGGAGAGUUGAUACUUUUCUUAGCAUGAACCAUGAUCAUCUUCUUGACUUGCAGGUGUCAUACUCAUUGCUGAUCUUUUUCUGUGGGAUGUUUAUUACGGUUGAUGGCUUCAACAAAACUGGCAUCCCGAACACACUAUGGGAGCUAGUGGAACCAUAUUCACGAAUUGAUAGCGCCAAAGGAGUUGCACUUCUUGCGGUGGUGAUUCUUAUCCUUUCAAAUGUGGCCUCAAAUGUUCCAACAGGUAAUUUUUUUUCAAAUUGAUUCUUAUCCUUGCGGUGGACGGAUUAUUUUUUCAAAAUUUGUACAGAAUUUUGAUCCAUCCUGUUCAUCCUAUGCCUGAACUUUUCCUCUUUCUUUUUUUUUCAGUCUUGUUGCUCGGUACAAGAGUGGCUGCGUCCGCUGCCGCGAUCUCUCACGAUUCAGAGAGGAAGGCCUGGCUCAUCCUUGCAUGGGUGAGCACCGUGGCCGGGAACCUCACCCUCCUGGGUUCCGCCGCGAACCUGAUUGUCUGCGAGCAGGCCAGGCGCGCCCAGUUCUUCGGCUACAACCUCACCUUCUGGAGCCACCUCCGGUUCGGGGUGCCGUCGACCAUCGUCGUCACGGCGAUCGGGCUGCUCAUCGUCAUCAGUUACUGAUGAAGGCAGAAGAUAGUAAGUAGUGUACGAGAAGCAGAACGGAUAAAUCCAUCCAUCCAAUAAGAAACUACAUGUAAAAUAGGCUUGUAACUCUCUCUCGUGUGUGCGUCAGUAUGUGUAUGUCUCCGUCUGUGCUCUUGCUCAUUUUAGUGCUGCCAAGCUAAGGGAACCGUGAGCAGACUGCAGAUGGCUGACCGUGUAGCCUGCAUUUUCAUUCCUGAACGGAGGUUGCAAAUAGGGUUAAUGAAGAAUGGUAUGGUAAUCUGAUUGCAGUUUUGAUGUUCUAGAUGCUUAGAACCCUUGAUUUAGUCCAAAUUUGGUUUUGAGUUCCGGAGCAAGCGUUUAAGUAGUUCGUUCGUUUCCGAAACUGAAGGUCAGCUGAGACUUGAAAUUCUGCUUUCAAAACCCGAAACACCGGUGAAGUUUGGGCUAAAACUCGAAACAGCCCAUCGCCUUACUGGGCCAAAGUUGGAAGCAGCCCAAUAGCUACAACUUCCGCCCUUCACUAAGCACCAGGCCCCCUCGAGAUUCGAGAGACCCUUUGCCAGUUCCCGCCGCCGCCGCUCCCGCUCCCGCCACCGUCAACGCCUCUCUCUACCGCCGCCGCCGCUGGAUUGAACAUAGAAGUCGACAGUUCCACGAGCGCGGUUCUAGCGCCGGGUGCGAGGCUCCGCCGCCGCGAUGGCGGUGGACGCGGACAGGCCGUUGGUUCGAAUUAUUUCGUCUACCUCAGGCAAGAAGGGUACGGUGGAGCUGAAAUCAAGGCCAGACACACCCGACGUGAGCAACCUCCAGAAACCCUCGGAUUUCGUGCAUGCUUUCAUGCUCGGAUUCGACACCGCGGAUGCCGUCGCCUUGCUACGCCUUGUUGAUGACCAAGGAUGUGGAGACGCCGCGCUUCCGAGCUAGGGGAGCACCUGUCGCGUGGCAUCGGACGGCUCUCGGGGAAGGCGGGCAAGACCAAGCAUUGCCAUCGCGCGGACACCAGCGAAGAUCCAUAUCCUUGGGUCCUUUGUCAACAUCAGGGUUUGCUCGGGCUCGCUGUGCAAUCCUGGGUCUCCCUGCAGCUGGUGGCAAGGUGCAUGUUGUACUCCAAGCUAAGGGCUGUGUGUCUGCAUGCUAGGUUGUUGGCGGAAAGGUAUUAGCGUCCUCGCUGGGAGGCGGGGACGGGUGGCCGCGUCCCCUGCGGAUCGGAUCAUACUGCCGGCCGGCGGCCUGUGCAUACGGUACGAAGGGGUUGGCAAGUUUCUGUUGCGCGCACGGUAGCCCACUGGACUUGCAUUGGACACUUUGGCAGAGGGCGGCGGUGUUCUAGGCUUUAGCCUCGUGGUCGUGGAUGAACGACGAUCGAUGGGCUCUCGCUCUGGCGUUUCCAUCCAACGUGAACGCCCUGCUGUCCAGCUGCUCGCUGCCGUACGUACGUACGUAGCUCAGUAGCUGUGCCCACGGCACACUCGCGUGCUUGCAUGUGCAUGCCACGAGGUUUUGCACCGUCAAGUACUCUCUGUUCUUUUCCGUGGCAUAAAUCAUUCAACGCCCAAGGAAAACACGCAAUGGUCGUCCCUAGCUAGCUGCUCGAUCGAAAUGGUCGUGUCAUUUUCUUCGUCUUUAGCACCAAGAGGAGGACAAGGUGACGUGGUGCCUGAUCAUCGUCGACCCGGCGGUCGUUGCGACAUCGAUCAAAGGAUGCACAAGGGUCCACACUGUGCAUGCUGCAAAACGUUGACCGGAUCGGUCGGAGGAGAGGAGAGAAGAGUAGCAGCUAUCUAUACUACGGUUCAGUUUAAUUUAAUUUGACGCAUCUGAUCUUCAGUCCAUUGCAUAGCUUCUCCAGCAAUAACAAGAAUGGAACCAUAGGCUCCUAUGCUGGAAGCAUUUCGGGGUACAGGUCUAACCACCUCAACUCCCCGUUUCUGGCAUGCUAUAGUUUUUCUAGUAUCUUGACGACGGGAUCACAGGAAUGCUGGGAGAUGACCGGUAAGCCAGAUGCUUCGCGAACCACCGGUACAUUUCGUUGCACUUGAAUCGCCCUCGUUAAGAAGCGUGGUUCGUAUACAUACAUAUACUUGAUGGUGUAAAAAUUAAAGAUAAGAGGUUUCGGAAACACACCAACAAAAAAAGAUCCAGAUAAAAAACUAACAGCCGGAUCGAAUAACUAUGGGACUGACUAUUUCUGAAGUGCUUCAAAGGAAGAUACUAGCUAGUACUUUUCAAUAAUUGUCAAUAGCGGAACAAUCUUGGAUGUUGAUUGUUGAUCUUGAUCCAAGAUUCUUUAGACGGUGGUCGAACAAGAAAUUUGUUUGAAGCGCUCGAAUAAUAGCAAAAUCGAAGAGCUACGACCAAUAUAAUAUUGGCUGUGAAAAACAAUCGAUCAGAGAGAACAGCACAUGAUCAUGGAUGCGGAGAUUGUACAUGAGAGCAAAUCAGAAACACCUUCGCACAAGCUUUAAUAUCUCAAAUUCAUAUUAUUCAUAACAGUGGUCCACACAUCGAGGAGCGGGGUAACAAAGGAGUAGCGUGCUACAACACCAAUUAACUAAUAACUAUUAGUACAAAAGAAGAACACCAACGUUACACCAUGACACCACUUCAGAUCAUAACCCUCUGGACAUUGCUAUAGCCAAGAACACAAAGGUUCAUCUCCACCUAUCUCCAUCCAUGCAUCACCCAAUAGAGACACCACCCCCAGAUCAGAACAGAACAAUUGCCAAAGGAUACAAGUUGCCCUACCUUAUUAGUAGAGAGGUAAAACUCGCCGUCGUCGACGACGCUGGCGGCCACGGCCGCCACUCCUCAACAAGGGGAGUAGCUAGCCGCCAGCUCCAUGGCCACAAGCCCACGCCCCCACCCUAUGGGCGUCCGAGGCGCCGCCACCCAUUACCGAGACACGCUCCAGAAUAAGAACACGACCACCAUGGCAUGACAUAAGCUGGUAGCUAGCUAGAUCUUUGCGUGUGCUUACAUGGUGGUGUUCGCGGAUAGAUAAUGUAUGGGAGCUACUAGCGUGCUCGCCCCCUGCCGCCCCGGGCGUACGUGGGCUUAAGAGGGGGAGAAGAGGGAGCUCCCAUUGGGUGCUUUUAUGUGGACGCUUCGCUGCCUCUUUGAGGAUUCGAGGGGCUUUCCUGCAGAAACCCUUUUCUUUUCUUUUUUAUUCUAAUGCCAAAGCUCCUCCCCUAUGCAUUCAUGCUACCUAAAUCCUCGCAACUUUGCAC